RNAcentral lists this ribosomal RNA (301 nucleotides) under uncultured bacterium. Its description in RNAcentral is "partial 16S ribosomal RNA". It matches the Rfam family "Bacterial small subunit ribosomal RNA", at positions 509 to 808 of the family's 1533-position model. The record is from RNAcentral.
CAGUAGCCGCGGUAAUACGUAGGGUGCAAGCGUUAAUCGGAAUUACUGGGCGUAAAGCGCACGUAGGCGGAUAUUUAAGUCAGGGGUGAAAUCCCAGAGCUAACUCUGGAACUGCCUUUGAUACUGGGUAUCUUGAGUAUGGAAGAGGUGAGUGGAAUUCCGAGUGUAGAGGUGAAAUUCGUAGAUAUUCGGAGGAACACCAGUGGCGAAGGCGGCUCACUGGUCCAUUACUGACGCUGAGGUGCGAAAGCGUGGGGAGCAAACAGGAUUAGAUACCCCCGUAGUCCCUGUCUCUUAUACA